This 430-nucleotide ribosomal RNA is filed under the name Brucella melitensis. RNAcentral's name for it is "partial 16S ribosomal RNA". It matches the Rfam family "Bacterial small subunit ribosomal RNA", at positions 355 to 776 of the family's 1533-position model. RNAcentral also lists the same sequence under 1 other name. The record is from RNAcentral. Lineage: Bacteria; Pseudomonadati; Pseudomonadota; Alphaproteobacteria; Hyphomicrobiales; Brucellaceae.
UGGGGAAUAUUGGACAAUGGGCGAAAGCCUGAUCCAGCUAUGCCGCGUGUGUGAAGAAGGCCUUUUGGUUGUAAAGCACUUUAAGCGAGGAGGAGGCUACUUGGAUUAAUACUCUAGGAUAGUGGACGUUACUCGCAGAAUAAGCACCGGCUAACUCUGUGCCAGCAGCCGCGGUAAUACAGAGGGUGCGAGCGUUAAUCGGAUUUACUGGGCGUAAAGCGUGCGUAGGCGGCUUUUUAAGUCGGAUGUGAAAUCCCUGAGCUUAACUUAGGAAUUGCAUUCGAUACUGGGAAGCUAGAGUAUGGGAGAGGAUGGUAGAAUUCCAGGUGUAGCGGUGAAAUGCGUAGAGAUCUGGAGGAAUACCGAUGGCGAAGGCAGCCAUCUGGCCUAAUACUGACGCUGAGGUACGAAAGCAUGGGGAGCAAACAGG